CGGACUGUAGGCUGCAACUCGCCUACACGAAGUCGGAAUCGCUAGUAAUCGCGGAUCAGCAUGCCGCGGUGAAUACGUUCCCGGGCCUUGUACACACCGCCCGUCACACCAUGGGAGUUUGUAACACCCAAAGUCGGUGGCCUAACCUUUAUGGAGGGAGCCGCCUAAGGCGGGACAGAUGACUGGGGUGAAGUCGUAACAAGGUAAC
This 208-nucleotide ribosomal RNA is filed under the name uncultured bacterium. Its description in RNAcentral is "partial 16S ribosomal RNA". It matches the Rfam family "Bacterial small subunit ribosomal RNA", at positions 1294 to 1500 of the family's 1533-position model. The record is from RNAcentral.